This 252-nucleotide ribosomal RNA is filed under the name uncultured bacterium. RNAcentral describes it as "partial 16S ribosomal RNA". It matches the Rfam family "Bacterial small subunit ribosomal RNA", at positions 28 to 280 of the family's 1533-position model. The record is from RNAcentral.
GACGAACGCUGGCGGCGUGCUCAACACAUGCAAGUCGAGCGGUAAGGCCCUUUCGGGGUACGACGAGCGGCGAACGGGUGAGUAACACGUGGGUGACCUGCCCUCAGCUCUGGGAUAAGCCUGGGAAACCGGGUCUAAUACUGGAUAUGACUCCAUGACGCAUGUUGUGGGGUGGAAAGCCUUGUGCGGCUGAGGAUGGGCCCGCGGCCUAUCAGCUUGUUGGUGGGGUGAUGGCCUACCCAAGGCGACGAC